Molecule: ribosomal RNA, 197 nt
Filed under: uncultured bacterium
Lineage: Bacteria
Description: partial 16S ribosomal RNA
Rfam family: Bacterial small subunit ribosomal RNA
Source: RNAcentral
GAUCGGAGUCUGCAACCCGACUCCGUGAAGCUGGAUUCGCUAGUAAUCGCGCAUCAGCCAUGGCGCGGUGAAUACGUUCCCGGGCCUUGUACACACCGCCCGUCAAGCCAUGGGAGCCGGGGGUGCUUGAAGUGCGUCGCCGCAAGGCGCGCCCUAGAGCAAAACCGGUGACUGGGGCUAAGUCGUAACAAGGUAAC